AGGGAGUUCAGCAGGGUAUGGAAGAAGAGAUAUGUAAUAGCUAGUGUGGACAUGUAUAUGUAAAGAGAUUGUAGUUAUGUAAUAAGAUGUAUAGACUUGUGCUUGAUUCGUUAGAGUGAUCCCCAGUUAUGUAUACAUGAUCAGUUUUUAUAUGUAUGUAUCUUUUCUUGUUGAUGUAUAUGAGAAAACCAGGCUUAACAUUAUGAGUUUAUCCGCUUAGAGACGGAUAAGAGAGAGCAGAAACAGUGCAUGCACAGGUUAAGCCCUGGAGGAAAGAACAGUUUUAAUGGUUUGACAAAAAAAGUAUGAUCAUGUAUGGGAUUUCACAGGUACACAGACAGGAUAGCAGGCUUACUACGGGUCCCG
This 366-nucleotide long non-coding RNA is filed under the name Manihot esculenta (cassava). RNAcentral's name for it is "long non-coding RNA (MESC_LNC011075)". Lineage: Eukaryota; Viridiplantae; Streptophyta; Magnoliopsida; Malpighiales; Euphorbiaceae. The record is from RNAcentral.